AAUCGGAGACUCUGGGGGUGGAGCCCAACAAUCUCUAAAACAAGUCCUCCAGGCAGGAAUUUAUACGUGCAUGUUUAAAGGCGAUACUUUUCAAAUGCCAGACUUCCUCAGCUUGUGCUAUACUUCCCGUUCACACACUGCCGUGUCUUUGCUAUGCCCUCCCAUACACCAAAAAAAAAAAAAAAAAAAAAAACCCCAAAUAAUCCAAAAACUCUUGUUCAGAUUUCCAAACUGGUUCAAGGUCAAGAUGGACCAAAAUUUACUUUGGCUU
Molecule: long non-coding RNA, 271 nt
Filed under: Homo sapiens (human)
Lineage: Eukaryota; Metazoa; Chordata; Mammalia; Primates; Hominidae
Description: HSALNT0345165
Source: RNAcentral